UGCUGAUGCCGUAUCUAUGUUUCCUGAUUUCGUUCCUAGGGUUUCUUUCUCCAGAGUUGUCUCCCUUUGGGUUUUCUUUAUUGUUUCUACUUCCAUUUUUAGAUCCUGGAUGGUUUUGUUCAAUUCUAUCAUCUGUUUGGUAGUGUUUUCCUGUAACUCUCUAAGGCAUUUUGUGUUUCCUCUUUAAAGGCUUCUAGCUGUUUACCUGUGUUUUCCUCUAUUUCUUUCUUAAAGUUCUCCAUCAUCAUCAUAAGAAGUGACUUUAGAUCCAUGUCUUGCUUUUCUGGUGUGAUGGUGUAUCCAGGACUUGCUAUGAUGGGAGAAUUUGGUUCUGAUGAUGCCAAGUAACCUUGGUUUCUGUUGCUUCUGUUCUUAUACUUGCCUCCUGCCAUCUGAUUUCAAGUAUUUGCUGUCCUCAAUAUAUCUGAUUGGAGCCUGUCCUUCCUAUAAUCUCAGUUGAUUCAGGACUCCUCAGAGUCUAGCUUUCUCUGUGAUCCUUUCCUUGUGUGCUCCUUUGAACCUGAGAUUCUGGGUGUGUCAGAGUUCUUGGCAGUCAAAUUCCUCUGAUACCCUGAAAUACUGGUGUGACCAAGCUCCUUUUAUCCUGGGAUCCUGUUGUCAAAGAUUCUGGGCAUGUUACCGUGCCUGGAAGUGGUGUUUCCGUAGGUCAGUGGUCCUAAGAUUGCAUGGAGAGUCCUGUAGGGACCUUGGGGGUGCCUGCAGACUCUGUGCCCAAGGUGACCCGGUGCUGGCACCAACCAGACGGGACUUGUGACCCUGGUCAGGCUGGGUUUUCUGCUUCCCUAAUGCUGUCACAGGUCUUGUGCAAUUGGAUUGAAACAGAAGUUGUGUUCCACUCACCAAUGGUCCUAAGAUCAUGUGGAGAGUCCUCAAGGGACCUUGGAGAUGUCCGCCGACUCAUCGCACAAGGUGAUCCAGUGCUGGUGCUGACCAGAAGGGCAUGCUGGAAUUUCUUAAAAGGCUUGACUCUUGUUUUAUGGACAUCAAAGAUGAUUACAUUUCCCAGAUACACUGACUAGAGCGUCAAUGAACAUGAAUGUGCAAACAUCUCUGUAAAUACCAGAAGUUCAGGACAGCAUACUUACAAUCCAGCUCAAAAGUGUCACCAAACAUGAAUAAGCAGCAGUGGCAUGAUCCUGAAGAAACAACCAAGCCUCCACAGAAUCGCCAUGAGUAAGCAAGAGUGAUCACAACCAGCCGGAAUGCCAAUAGAAGUUCUCCACUGUGCCUCUCUCAGCAAAGUGAAGAUGGAAGAUGAAAGAAGUGUUGCAGGACUAGCUAUGCAAAUACACUGUCACAGUCUAUUCUGUCCUACUUAUACUCUCUCCAAACAUAACAUGUAUUCUCAUGGGUCUGCUUCAGCAAAACAUCACAUGAAUCUGCCUCAGCAAAACAUCCCACAAGUCUGCUUCAGUAAAGUAUCACAUGACACAACCAGAAAUUUUCUCUUCAAUACCCAGUGUUACACAUUUGGAGAAAACUAAUUUUUUCUCCCCCAGAAGGUAUAAAUGGCAGUUCAUCUGUUAUUCUUUACCCUAGCAGCUAGGUUUUCAUUCAUUCAUGCAUGCAUGCAUUCAUUCACUCAGGCAGUCAGUCAUUUUUUUUAGCUAUGACAAAAUAAUAUUUAAUAAAAAGAAAAGACAAAUUAUAUCAAAGUUCAACAGGAUAAAUCAGAAGGAAAAGAGCUUAUGUGAAGGCACAUGAAUUAGAGAUCCCCUUGUUCAUACAGCCAGGAAUCCCAUAAAAUACUAAAUUGGAAGCAAUUUUAUACACACAGAGAGAGAGAGAGAGAGAGAGAGAGAGAGAGAGAGAGAGACAGACAGACAGACAGACAGACACACACACACACGUAGGACCUGGUGCAGACCCAUGCAGACCAUGUGCAUACUGCUUCAGUCUCUAUGAGUACAUAUGAGCUUUGCUGAGUUUAUUUGAAUGUGUCUGUGUCCUGUUUUUUUCAUCUGAAAGGAGGAAAUUCCAAUUAAGAAACGUCUUCAUAAGAGCCACCUGCAAGCCAUUUUCUCAAUUAGUGAUUGAUAUAUGAUGGCCCAGUGCAUUAUGGGUAGUGCUGUCCCUGCUCUGGUGGUGCUAGGUUCCAUAAGAAAUAGAUUGAGCAAGCCAUGUGAGCAAGCAAGUAAGCAGCACCCAUCCAUAACCUCUGCAUCAGCUCCUGC
RNAcentral lists this long non-coding RNA (2195 nucleotides) under Mus musculus (house mouse). RNAcentral describes it as "predicted gene, 39312". The record is from RNAcentral. Lineage: Eukaryota; Metazoa; Chordata; Mammalia; Rodentia; Muridae.